Capsicum annuum is the source of this 819-nucleotide long non-coding RNA. RefSeq lists it as uncharacterized. The transcript is spliced from 6 exons. The record is from RefSeq and is a predicted model, not a curated record. Lineage: Eukaryota; Viridiplantae; Streptophyta; Magnoliopsida; Solanales; Solanaceae.
GUAAUUGACCCCUUAACUGUUGUGAGAAGAAAAGUUCUGGGUUACUUUUUGUGGCUUACAGAAGAAUGUUAUUGCUGUUUGGAGUGAUUUUAGCCUUCAGAUUGAAGCCAUUGAAGGCUAUUUGGUUGUGUUCUACGCAUAGUGAGGUUGUGGAACUUGUCUUUAGCGAGAUACGGAUGCGGAGAGAAAGACACGGAUGCGGAGAGAAAGACUUGUGGCUGACGGUCUUUACUUAUGGACUCUGUUGCUGAGGUUGACGUUGUAGACUUAAUUGAUGAAGAAUCAUCUUAGAUAUGUGAGAGAAUCUGAUGAAGUGAAGGAUCUCUAGUUCUCAUCUGUAGUCCAUAGAGGUAAUACCCUAUUACAGAUUCAUCAAGCAUCCUGCUCAAGUUGCUAAAUGGAAAGCAUAGGAGGUAAGAGAUCCCCUUACGUGAGUCCUUUUAAUCUAAAUAUAUUAUGUUAAUUAGAAUGUGUCAUAUUUUGUCACAAGGGACACCUUACAAUGUUAAGGUUACUUUUCUAUUUGUUCCCAAGUAAAGAGGUAACCUUAGGUAGGGGCUUUAAUGGCAGUUUGGCGACACAAUGAGUUCAUUGAUGAAGAAGCGAAAACAGAGUCUGUUGACAGGAUCUAACUUGCCAAUUCAUCAUUGGUCUAAAUUUCCGUCGACUUCAACUCAUGUUAUGUGAAUAUGGAAUAGAUUAAUCAUAUUAUGUAGUGAAACUUGGAUCAUUUAUAGCAAUGAUUUAUGUAUCAUGUUCAGUGUGUUGGUGAAUGCUCACCAGUGAUGUAAUUGAUAUUAGGAAUAUAAUGAUUUUUUU